CCUGGAAGAACACCAGGUUGAUAGGUCAGAGAUGUAAGCAUGGCAACAUGUUAAGUUGACUGAUACUAAUAAGUCGAGGGCUUGACCAAAUAA
RNAcentral lists this ribosomal RNA (93 nucleotides) under Clostridium botulinum. RNAcentral's name for it is "partial 23S ribosomal RNA". It matches the Rfam family "Bacterial large subunit ribosomal RNA", at positions 2836 to 2925 of the family's 2925-position model. RNAcentral also lists the same sequence under 1 other name. The record is from RNAcentral. Lineage: Bacteria; Bacillati; Bacillota; Clostridia; Eubacteriales; Clostridiaceae.